This 384-nucleotide long non-coding RNA is filed under the name Bos taurus (domestic cattle). RNAcentral describes it as "long non-coding RNA NONBTAT011401". The record is from RNAcentral. Lineage: Eukaryota; Metazoa; Chordata; Mammalia; Artiodactyla; Bovidae.
CUGUCAUCAUCCCCUGUGAGAAUCUCAUAGUUCCCACCCUCUUUGACUCACAUAGGUCACCAUGGAUACAACACCUCUACCCUUAACCCACAGUGGAGGAGCAACAGCUGUUGCACUGCACUUGGGAAUUUUGCCAUUCUCUCUUCUAUAUAAAAUGUACUGGUGAAACUGUUCAGAUAAUGUCACAACUGUUUUCAAAAGAUUAGAGGGGAAAACAUGUUAAAAGAAUCACCUGAAAUAUUGAGCAAUAGCAAAGGACUAAAAUUUAAUUUAAACUGUAAAAUGAGAUAACAAGCAACAAACAUAGUAUAAUACUAUAAUUACUGUAAUAAGAGGUUACAGAGUUUUCUUUAAAGUCUCUCCUAGCCAAAAUGAUUUUUCAAU